Long non-coding RNA from Anser cygnoides (Swan goose), 1706 nucleotides. The record is from Ensembl. NCBI's taxonomy places the organism in Eukaryota, Metazoa, Chordata, Aves, Anseriformes, Anatidae.
ACAAAUUAGGCCAUCUCAAAGAUAUUUUUGUAUGCUUUGCAGGUACUUUUUGCAACUUAAAAAGCUGCAUUUGAAAACUCUAAAUUACUGAAUAUACUUUACUGAGUUACUGAAGAUAUUUUGCUAAAGGAAUACGUUCUCCCUUUUGGGGGUUAAAAACAUUACAUUUUAAAACCUUAUUGAAGGGAAGAGGUGUGCAAAAUGGGUAUGUUAAUUUUCCAGUCACAAAAUUUAUGCGAUAGAUACUACCAGUUCCCAGGCACUGGUCACCUCUAUAGACCAGUUAUUUGACUUUUUUCUAAAUAACCAGCAAGUGUAUUCAUUUUGUUCAUUUUUAAAUGUUGAAAAUGGCCUAUCAAUACUUUUUCCAAUGAUCCUACCACUGAAGACAUCGUAUUAUCAAGUCUAAUAUCUUCCUCACUGAAAGGUGUAUUACAUUUAGCAUAGUAAUUAUUGGAAAAGAAAUUGUGCAUUGCAUUAUUUUUAGCCCAGCUGGUGAAAUCUCAAAAAUUUGUGAAAUCUAAUUCUCACAGCACACAAAGUCAAAAUUGAUAAAAGACAACAUUUAUCCCCAUUAAUAGCACCAGUGACAUCAAUGGAAUUACAGCAAGAAGAAAUUUGGCCUGGUCUCAGCAUGACAGACUGUUCACAAGUGAUGCAGAGCUCUGGGUCUCUGCCACCGCUCUCUUUUUCUUUUUCUUUUUCUUUUUCUUUUUCUUUUUCUUUUUCUUUUUCUUUUUCUUUUUCUUUCUUUUUCUUUUUCUUUUUCUUUUUCUUUUUCUUUUCUUCUUUUUCUUUUUCUCUUUCUCCUUCUCCUUCUCCUUCUCCUUCUCCUUCUCCUUCUCCUUCUCCUUCUCCUUUUCUCCUUCUCUUUCUUUUUUUCUGAAAAUGAGGGAACAAGGAGGAUAUACUCAUGGUCAGGUAUCUUUUUAUCCACAAAAAAAGAAACAGUAACUCUGUAUGGUUUCGUGCAGAAUACCAAAUUACAGUGGUCUGAGUGUUAGUAUUCAUGGCACCUGUGAACAUGUUUACAGAAGUUUAAUCCACAUUAAGAAGCCUCAUCCAAGCCUCAUCCGAAGCCUCGUCUUCUGAAUACAGAUUUUACUUUAUCCUGCUCGUAAUAUUUCAGAGCUGCUUCUAAAGAAAAUCUCAAAAUUCCUUCUAUAAUAGAAAUGAAGAGAAUUUUGCCUCUUAUGCAGACAAUGUAUAAUGCAUGUUCUCAGAGUCAUAUGUUAGAUAUUCUACAGCUGUUACUGAUUUAUGGGUUAAACUUCUUUGUUUACCCCAUCUCACUCUUUUUAUGCUAACAAAAAUGCCAAACUAAUGAUCAAUGACCAUAAAAUAUUGGUCAUGUGUUUGUUUUCAAACCUUCUUUAGCUCUAAAUGUUGAUCUAACAUUAAGUAAUGCCAGAAUCUAGUGAAGAGAAAAAAAUUUGUAAAAAUUGUACACUCCUAAACCUCCAUGAUAACUUCUUUGGAUAUUACUAAACUAUUAUUAUACUAUUACUGAGUAAUAGCCAUUCUUACAUAAGCCCAGAUUCAAAGAUUACUGAAAUCAAUUGUAUUUCUAUUGAUUUCCAUGUGCUUUAGAAAAAAAACCUUUUUCGUACAGUUUUUAGUAGAAACUAGUUUCAUAAGCUAAAUGCUACGGGAUUCAUUCAAGCAAAAAUGAGUCUUUUUGCAAACAUGUAUUAGAUAUAGUCAAG